RNAcentral lists this ribosomal RNA (671 nucleotides) under Stenotrophomonas rhizophila. RNAcentral describes it as "bacterial SSU rRNA". It matches the Rfam family "Bacterial small subunit ribosomal RNA", at positions 1 to 659 of the family's 1533-position model. The record is from RNAcentral. Lineage: Bacteria; Pseudomonadati; Pseudomonadota; Gammaproteobacteria; Lysobacterales; Lysobacteraceae.
UUUUUAGAGUUUUGAUUCCCCGCUCAGAGUGAACGCUGGCGGUAGGCCUAACACAUGCAAGUCGAACGGCAGCACAGUAAGAGCUUGCUCUUAUGGGUGGCGAGUGGCGGACGGGUGAGGAAUACAUCGGAAUCUACCUUUUCGUGGGGGAUAACGUAGGGAAACUUACGCUAAUACCGCAUACGACCUUCGGGUGAAAGCAGGGGACCUUCGGGCCUUGCGCGGAUAGAUGAGCCGAUGUCGGAUUAGCUAGUUGGCGGGGUAAAGGCCCACCAAGGCGACGAUCCGUAGCUGGUCUGAGAGGAUGAUCAGCCACACUGGAACUGAGACACGGUCCAGACUCCUACGGGAGGCAGCAGUGGGGAAUAUUGGACAAUGGGCGCAAGCCUGAUCCAGCCAUACCGCGUGGGUGAAGAAGGCCUUCGGGUUGUAAAGCCCUUUUGUUGGGAAAGAAAAGCAGUCGGCUAAUACCCGGUUGUUCUGACGGUACCCAAAGAAUAAGCACCGGCUAACUUCGUGCCAGCAGCCGCGGUAAUACGAAGGGUGCAAGCGUUACUCGGAAUUACUGGGCGUAAAGCGUGCGUAGGUGGUUGUUUAAGUCUGUUGUGAAAGCCCUGGGCUCAACCUGGGAAUUGCAGUGGAUACUGGGCGACUAGAGUGUGGUAGAGGUA